CACUCAGGUGUUGUUGGGUAGGGGAGCGUUCUGUAAGCCUGUGAAGGUGGCCUGUGAGGGUUGCUGGAGGUAUCAGAAGUGCGAAUGCUGACAUAAGUAACGAUAAAGCGGGUGAAAAGCCCGCUCGCCGGAAGACCAAGGGUUCCUGUCCAACGUUAAUCGGGGCAGGGUGAGUCGACCCCUAAGGCGAGGCCGAAAGGCGUAGUCGAUGGGAAACGGGUUAAUAUUCCCGUACUUGGUGUUACUGCGAAGGGGGGACGGAGAAGGCUAUGUUGGCCGGGCGACGGUUGUCCCGGUUUAAGCGUGUAGGUGUGUGUUCCAGGUAAAUCCGGUUCACUUUAACACUGAGGCGUGACGACGAGGCACUACGGUGCUGAAGCAACAAAUGCCCUGCUUCCAGGAAAAGCCUCUAAGCAUCAGGUAACAUCAAAUCGUACCCCAAACCGACACAGGUGGUCAGGUAGAGAAUACCAAGGCGCUUGAGAGAACUCGGGUGAAGGAACUAGGCAAAAUGGUGCCGUAACUUCGGGAGAAGGCACGCUGACAUGUAGGUGAAGUGAUUUACUCAUGGAGCUGAAGUCAGUCGAAGAUACCAGCUGGCUGCAACUGUUUAUUAAAAACACAGCACUGUGCAAACACGAAAGUGGACGUAUACGGUGUGACGCCUGCCCGGUGCCGGAAGGUUAAUUGAUGGGGUCAGCGCAAGCGAAGCUCCUGAUCGAAGCCCCGGUAAACGGCGGCCGUAACUAUAACGGUCCUAAGGUAGCGAAAUUCCUUGUCGGGUAAGUUCCGACCUGCACGAAUGGCGUAAUGAUGGCCAGGCUGUCUCCACCCGAGACUCAGUGAAAUUGAACUCGCUGUGAAGAUGCAGUGUACCCGCGGCAAGACGGAAAGACCCCGUGAACCUUUACUAUAGCUUGACACUGAACAUUGAGCCUUGAUGUGUAGGAUAGGUGGGAGGCUUUGAAGUGUGGACGCCAGUCUGCAUGGAGCCGACCUUGAAAUACCACCCUUUAAUGUUUGAUGUUCUAACGUGGACCCGUGAUCCGGGUUGCGGACAGUGUCUGGUGGGUAGUUUGACUGGGGCGGUCUCCUCCUAAAGAGUAACGGAGGAGCACGAAGGUUGGCUAAUCCUGGUCGGACAUCAGGAGGUUAGUGCAAUGGCAUAAGCCAGCUUGACUGCGAGCGUGACGGCGCGAGCAGGUGCGAAAGCAGGUCAUAGUGAUCCGGUGGUUCUGAAUGGAAGGGCCAUCGCUCAACGGAUAAAAGGUACUCCGGGGAUAACAGGCUGAUACCGCCCAAGAGUUCAUAUCGACGGCGGUGUUUGGCACCUCGAUGUCGGCUCAUCACAUCCUGGGGCUGAAGUAGGUCCCAAGGGUAUGGCUGUUCGCCAUUUAAAGUGGUACGCGAGCUGGGUUUAGAACGUCGUGAGACAGUUCGGUCCCUAUCUGCCGUGGGCGCUGGAGAACUGAGGGGGGCUGCUCCUAGUACGAGAGGACCGGAGUGGACGCAUCACUGGUGUUCGGGUUGUCAUGCCAAUGGCACUGCCCGGUAGCUAAAUGCGGAAGAGAUAAGUGCUGAAAGCAUCUAAGCACGAAACUUGCCCCGA
This 1609-nucleotide ribosomal RNA is filed under the name Salmonella enterica. Its description in RNAcentral is "partial 23S ribosomal RNA". It matches the Rfam family "Bacterial large subunit ribosomal RNA", at positions 1212 to 2802 of the family's 2925-position model. The record is from RNAcentral. Lineage: Bacteria; Pseudomonadati; Pseudomonadota; Gammaproteobacteria; Enterobacterales; Enterobacteriaceae.